AACACAAACCCCGACGCUGAAUGCGUCAAGGAAUUUAAAAUUUGCUCUGAGCGCAUCGACAUACACCGGAGACGGUUUUUGUGUUGGUUGUGUUCUGACGCGUGAUAUAGAAUGACUCUCGGCAACGGAUAUCUAGGCUCUUGCAUCGAUGAAGAACGUAGCGAAAUGCGAUACUUGGUGUGAAUUGCAGAAUCCCGUGAACCAUCGAGUCUUUGAACGCAAGUUGCGCCCGAUGCCAUUAGGUUGAGGGCACGUCUGCCUGGGCGUCACAUAUCGAAUUCACUUGCCAAUUUCCUAUUGAGAGGUAUUGUGCAGGGUGAAUGUUGGCCUCCCGUGAGCUCCAUCGUCUCAUGGUUGGUUGAAAAUCGAGACCUUGGUGGGGUGUGCCGUGAUAGAUGGUGGUUGUGUUACACACGAGACCAAGUCAUGUGCUGCUCUAUCGAAUUUAGCCUCUUUUACCCACAUGCGUUUCUAAACGCUCGUGAUGAGACCUCAGGUCAGGCGGGGCUACCCGCUGAAUUUAAGCAUAUCAAUAAGCGGAGGAAAAGAAACUAACAAGGAUUCC
Molecule: ribosomal RNA, 565 nt
Filed under: Trifolium variegatum
Lineage: Eukaryota; Viridiplantae; Streptophyta; Magnoliopsida; Fabales; Fabaceae
Description: eukaryotic LSU rRNA
Rfam family: 5.8S ribosomal RNA (bases 114-269)
Source: RNAcentral